RNAcentral lists this non-coding RNA (131 nucleotides) under Staphylococcus hyicus. RNAcentral's name for it is "FMN sequence". It matches the Rfam family "FMN riboswitch aptamer (RFN element)". Rfam says of the family: The RFN element is a highly conserved domain that is found frequently in the 5'-untranslated regions of prokaryotic mRNAs that encode for flavin mononucleotide (FMN) biosynthesis and transport proteins. This element is a metabolite-dependent riboswitch that directly binds FMN in the absence of proteins. The record is from RNAcentral. Lineage: Bacteria; Bacillati; Bacillota; Bacilli; Caryophanales; Staphylococcaceae.
AUAUUCUUUCGGGGCUGGGUGAAAUUCCCAACCGGCAGUAAUUUUAAGCCUGCGACCCAUAGUUUUUAACUAUGGCUGAUCUAGUGAGAAUCUAGAGCCGACAGUGAAAGUCUGGAUGGGAGGAAGAAUAA